This is a long non-coding RNA of Oncorhynchus tshawytscha (Chinook salmon), 366 nucleotides long. Lineage: Eukaryota; Metazoa; Chordata; Actinopteri; Salmoniformes; Salmonidae. The record is from Ensembl.
GGAGGAUAUAUACAGGGGGUACCGGUACAGAGUCAAUGUGGAGGAUAUAUACAGGGGGUACCGGUACAGAGUCAAUGUGGAGGCUAUAUACAGGGGGUACUGGUACAGAGUCAAUGUGGAGGCUAUAUACAGGGGGUACCGGUACAGAGUCAAUGUGGAGGCUAUAUACAGGGGGUACCGGUACAGAGUCAAUGUGGAGGCUAUAUACAGGGUAUUACGGUACAGAGUCAAUGUGGAGGAUAUAUACAGGGGGUACCGGUACAGAGUCAAUGUGGAGACUAUAUACAGGGGGUACCGGUACAGAGUCAAUGUGGAGACUAUAUACAGGGGGUACCGGUACAGAGUCAAUGUGGAGGCUAUAUACAG